RNAcentral lists this ribosomal RNA (413 nucleotides) under uncultured Methanomicrobiales archaeon. Its description in RNAcentral is "bacterial SSU rRNA". It matches the Rfam family "Archaeal small subunit ribosomal RNA", at positions 926 to 1338 of the family's 1478-position model. The record is from RNAcentral. Lineage: Archaea; Methanobacteriati; Methanobacteriota; Methanomicrobia; Methanomicrobiales.
CUCACCAGAUAAGACAGCUGAAUGAUAGUCGGGCUGAAGACUCUACUUGACUAGCUGAGAGGAGGUGCAUGGCCGUCGUCAGUUCGUACUGUGAAGCAUCCUGUUAAGUCAGGCAACGAGCGAGACCCACGCCAACAGUUGCCAGCUCGUCCUCCGGGAUGGUGGGGACACUGUUGGGACCGCCUCUGCUAAAGAGGAGGAAGGAAUGGGCAACGGUAGGUCAGCAUGCCCCGAAUUAUCUGGGCUACACGCGGGCUACAAUGGGUGGGACAAUGGGUAUCGACACCGAAAGGUGAAGGCAAUCUCCUAAACCCAUCCGUAGUUCGGAUUGUGGGCUGCAACUCGCCCACAUGAAGCUGGAAUCUGUAGUAAUCGUGUCUCAAAAUGGCACGGUGAAUAUGUCCCUGCUCCUU